GACGAACGCUGGCGGCGUGCUUAAUACAUGCAAGUCAACGACUUUUAGAGUAGCAAUAUUCUAAAGGAAGUGGCGCACGGGUGAGUAACACGUAGGUAAUCUGCCUUCAGGACUGACACAACGUCGUCGAAAGACGGGCUAAUAUCAGAUAAUGCAGCGGCUCCGCAUGGAGACAGUUGUUAAAGUACAAGCGCCUGAAGAUGAGCCUGCGGUCCAUUAGCUAGUUGGUAGAGUAAAAGCCUACCAAGGCAACGAUGGAUAGCUGGUCUGAGAGGAUGAUCAGCCACACUGGAACUGAGACACGGUCCAGACUCCUACGGGAGGCAGCAGUAGGAAUAUUGCUCAAUGGCCGAAAGGCUGAAGCAGCAACGCCG
RNAcentral lists this ribosomal RNA (374 nucleotides) under uncultured bacterium. Its description in RNAcentral is "bacterial SSU rRNA". It matches the Rfam family "Bacterial small subunit ribosomal RNA", at positions 28 to 399 of the family's 1533-position model. The record is from RNAcentral.